AUUUAGAGGAAGGAGAAGUCGUAACAAGGUUUCCGUAGGUGAACCUGCGGAAGGAUCAUUGUCGAAACUUGCCCCUCAAAACGACCCGAGAACUUGUUUAUACACACAACGGGGAGGCAGGCCGCGCGAGGGGUACCAUCCCGACCGCGGUCGUCCUUCCCACCCGCCUCGACGCGGCACCACCGCGGCGAGUGCGGCUCAACAACGAACCCCCGGCGCGAAUCGCGUCAAGGAUCACGAAACGAAAAGACGGAGCCGUCGCUGCCCCGGGAACGGUGAGCUCGACCGCACCGUCUAUUGAGAAUCAAAAAUGACUCUCGGCAACGGAUAUCUCGGCUCUCGCAUCGAUGAAGAACGUAGCGAAAUGCGAUACUUGGUGUGAAUUGCAGAAUCCCGUGAACCAUCGAGUCUUUGAACGCAAGUUGCGCCCCAAGCCAUUAGGCCGAGGGCACGUCUGCCUGGGUGUCACGCACAGUCGCCCCCCAUCCCACCCAAGGGUGAGGACGGAGGGGCGGACGAUGGCCUCCCGUGCGCUCCUAGCUCGCGGCUGGCCCAAAAGCGAGUCCGCGGACGACAAGGGAUGCCGCGACGGUCGGUGGUACGCGAAGCUGUCCCCGUCGUGGCCCCGUCGACCCGUUCGGACGCCUCGAUAGACCCUGACGCGUCGUCACGAACGACGCUCGCUCGGCGACCCCAGGUCAGGCGGGAUCACCCGCUGAGUUU
RNAcentral lists this ribosomal RNA (723 nucleotides) under Byttneria aspera. RNAcentral's name for it is "eukaryotic LSU rRNA". The stretch from base 313 to 468 matches the Rfam family "5.8S ribosomal RNA". Lineage: Eukaryota; Viridiplantae; Streptophyta; Magnoliopsida; Malvales; Malvaceae. The record is from RNAcentral.